GGCCCUGUAGCUCAGUUGGUAGAGCAAUGGAUUGAAAAUCCAUGUGUCGGCGGUUCGACUCCGCCUGGGGCCACCA
This 76-nucleotide transfer RNA is filed under the name Planctomycetota bacterium. RNAcentral's name for it is "Planctomycetes bacterium (soil metagenome) tRNA-Phe". It matches the Rfam family "tRNA". Rfam says of the family: Transfer RNA (tRNA) molecules are approximately 80 nucleotides in length. Their secondary structure includes four short double-helical elements and three loops (D, anti-codon, and T loops). The record is from RNAcentral. Lineage: Bacteria; Pseudomonadati; Planctomycetota.